RNAcentral lists this long non-coding RNA (204 nucleotides) under Sorghum bicolor (sorghum). RNAcentral describes it as "long non-coding RNA (SBIC_LNC010331)". The record is from RNAcentral. Lineage: Eukaryota; Viridiplantae; Streptophyta; Magnoliopsida; Poales; Poaceae.
AGUGGGGUUGGAGAUCUCGAAUGUGGUGAUGUUGGAGAGACUAAUGGAUUGUGAAGAUGUUGCAUAUGAGCAUGGAGUAAAUGAAGUGGCUAUGAAAUAAAUUCCAUGCUCAUUAAUGCUUAGUGUGAAAUCCAUGUGGUGUGGUGAAAAUGGUAAGGUGAGUGUGGUAAAAAAAGGAAAAGAAAAAGGAUACACGGACGACUU